Molecule: small nuclear RNA, 109 nt
Organism: Delphinapterus leucas (beluga whale)
Lineage: Eukaryota; Metazoa; Chordata; Mammalia; Artiodactyla; Monodontidae
Source: Ensembl
GUGCUCACUUCGGCAGCUCAUAUAUACUAAAAUUGGAAUAAUACAGAGAAGAUUAGCACGGCCCCUGCCCAAGGAUGAUACACAAACUCACGAAGCGUUCCAUAUCUUU